Long non-coding RNA from Spodoptera frugiperda (fall armyworm), 616 nucleotides. RefSeq lists it as uncharacterized. The transcript has 2 exons. NCBI's taxonomy places the organism in Eukaryota, Metazoa, Arthropoda, Insecta, Lepidoptera, Noctuidae. The record is from RefSeq and is a predicted model, not a curated record.
AUUAGGAAGAGGGUUUGAAAGAUGAGUUUAAAUUAAUUUGGUUGAUGUUGGCUUUAUACGUUAUAUUUUGUCACAGAGCCGUUAUCCAAAGCAACCAUUUUUAUGUAUAAAAUAGUAGGGGAAAGUGGGGUAAAUGCGAACGCGGGGUAAACCCGAACCCAAUAGUUUUAAUAUGUUAGAAAGAUAUAGCCGUAUAUCACUCGCCGGUAACUCAAAGAUCACGCCACCACCAGUGCCAGUCAACGACACGGGAGACGCGGGCGCACGUACUUUUCAAGAUGCCCCGUAAUUAUAAAAGAAAAACUGAAACUAAAUACAGUUUAGAGGAUCUCAAAAAGGCUAUAGUCGAUGUUCAAACCAAGAAACUCAGCAUUGGCAGAGCAGCAAAUACUUGUGUUCCAAAAACUACAAUUUACCUUAGUAAUGUUAGUACGUGAUUACCCCACUUGGUGUUCGGCUUUACCCGACAUCAGUUGGGUAAAACCGAACACUAAGGGUUUUGUUUUUCGGUCAUUUUGUUAUAUUUUAUUAAAAAAAAUAAUGAUGUUGAUUAGUAAUACGUUAGCUAGAUAAGUAAAGUUUAUAAUUUAAUAAUUAAAGAAACUCUGUGAUUUGA